ACCCGGGGAACUGAAACAUCUAAGUACCCGGAGGAAGAGAAAUCAAACGAGAUGCCCACAGUAGCGGCGAGCGAAGAGGGCAGAGGGCAAACCGAGGAGCUACGGCUCUUCGGGGUUGAGGACUGCAUUUAGUCUUAAUGGUCUAUCCGAACUACCUGGAAAGGUAGGCAACACAGUGUAAAAGCCACGUAGGUUAAAGGCCAGAGAGAUGAGCAGUAUCCAGAGUACCACGAGGCACGAGGAAUCUUGUGGGAAGCCGGGGGGACCACCCUCCAACCCUAAACACUGAAUGGCGACCGAUAGCGCAUAGUACCGUGAGGGAAAGGUGAAAAGAACCCCGGGAGGGGAGUGAAAGAGAACCUGAAACCGUAUGUCUACAAGCAGUCGGAGCGAAAGCGACGGCGUGCCUAUUGAAGAAUGAACCAACGAGUUACGUGCACUAGCGAGGUUAAGUGGAAGACACGGAGCCGAAGCGAAAGCGAGUCUUAAGAGGGCGGAUAGUUAGUGUACGUAGACCCGAAACCGCAGUGAUCUACCCAUGUCCAGGUUGAAGCGCAGGUAAAAUUGCGUGGAGGACCGAACCUGUGAGCGUUGAAAAGCUUUAGGAUGAGAUGUGGGUAGAGGUGAAAUUCCAAUCGAACGCGGAGAUAGCUGGUUCUCCCCGAAAUAGCUUUAGGGCUAGCCUCAAGUAGUAAGUAUAGGCGGUAGAGCACUGAUCGGGCUAGGGGCCAUAAAGGUUACCGAACCCUGUCAAACUCCGAAUGGUUAUACUGUAGAGCUUGGGAGUCAGACUACGAGUGAUAAGAUCCGUGGUCAAAAGGGAAACAGCCCAGACCACCAGCUAAGGUCCCCAAUGUCGUACUAAGUGGAAAAGGAUGUGGGGUCUCUAAAACAACCAGGAUGUUGGCUUAGAAGCAGCCACCAUUUAAAGAGUGCGUAAUAGCUCACUGGUCGAGAGACCCUGCGCCGAAGAUUACCGGGGCUAAAGUACGAAACCGAAGCUGUGGCUACGACGUAAGUCGUGGGGUAGGGGAGCGUUCUGUGAGGGCUGAAGUCGUUCUGUAAGGAACGGUGGACUUCACAGAAGUGAGAAUGUUGGUAUGAGUAGCGAAAAGAAUGGUGAGAAUCCAUUCCACCGAAAGCAUAAGGAUUCCUGGGCAACGAUCGUCGUCCCAGGGUAAGUCGGGACCUAAUCCGAGGCAUGGAGCGUAGGAGAUGGAUAACUGGCAGAUAUUCCAGUACCGGUAAUGAUUGUUUGAGCGAUGGAGUGACACAGGAGGGCAGGCAGGCAGGAGAUUGGUUGUUCCUGUACAAGCGUGUAGGAUGGGACGUAGGCAAAUCCGCGUCCUGUGAGUCUGAGGCGUGAUGUGGAGGUUCCGGAAACGGAACUGAAGCUGCUGACCCCACACUGUCGAGAAAAGCUUCUAGUUAGAGAAUUACCGCCCGUACCGUAAACCGACACAGGUAUGCGGGGAGAGAAUCCUAAGGUGCGCGGGAGAACCCUCGUUAAGGAACUCGGCAAAAUGUACCCGUAACUUCGGGAUAAGGGUAGCCGCUGUUGUGAAGUCUGAACAGAUGGAGCAUGAGGCGGUCGCAGAGAAGAGGCCCAAGCGACUGUUUACCACAAACACAGGUGCCUGCUAAAGAGAAAUCUGACGUAUAGGUGCUGACACCUGCCCAGUGCCGGAAGGUUAAGGAAGGAUGUCCGGAGCAAUCCAAAGCAUUCGACCGAAGCCCCGGUGAACGGCGGCCGUAACUAUAACGGUCCUAAGGUAGCGAAAUUCCUUGUCGGGUAAGUUCCGACCCGCACGAAAGGUGUAACGAUUUGGGCACUGUCUCAACGAGGGACCCGGUGAAAUUGAAGUACCUGUGAAGAUGCAGGUUACCCGCGACUGGACAGAAAGACCCCAUGGAGCUUUACUGUAACCUGACAUUGGGUUCUGAUACAUCACGUACAGGAUAGGUGGGAGGCAUGGAAGCGAGGACGCUAGUCUUCGUGGAGCCGCCGUUGGGAUACCACCCUUGAUGUAUCGGAAUUCUAACCGUAGGAGUAACGAAACUCGGGACAGUGUCAGGCGGGCAGUUUGACUGGGGCGGUCGCCUCC
Molecule: ribosomal RNA, 2105 nt
Filed under: gut metagenome
Description: bacterial LSU rRNA
Rfam family: Bacterial large subunit ribosomal RNA
Source: RNAcentral